Molecule: ribosomal RNA, 468 nt
Filed under: uncultured bacterium
Lineage: Bacteria
Description: partial 16S ribosomal RNA
Rfam family: Bacterial small subunit ribosomal RNA
Source: RNAcentral
GACGAACGCUGGCGGCGUGCUUAACACAUGCAAGUCGAACGGAAAGGCCCUGCUUUUGUGGGGUGCUCGAGUGGCGAACGGGUGAGUAACACGUGAGUAACCUGCCCUUGACUUUGGGAUAACUUCAGGAAACUGGGGCUAAUACCGGAUAGGAGCUCCUGCUGCAUGGUGGGGGUUGGAAAGUUUCGGCGGUUGGGGAUGGACUCGCGGCUUAUCAGCUUGUUGGUGGGGUAGUGGCUUACCAAGGCUUUGACGGGUAGCCGGCCUGAGAGGGUGACCGGCCACAUUGGGACUGAGAUACGGCCCAGACUCCUACGGGAGGCAGCAGUGGGGAAUAUUGCACAAUGGGCGGAAGCCCGAUGCAGCAACGCCGCGUGCGGGAUGACGGCCUUCGGGUUGUAAACCGCCUUCGCCUGUGACGAAGCGUGAGUGACGGUAAUGGGUAAAGAAGCACCGGCUAACUACGUG